UGGGGAAUUUUGGACAAUGGGGGAAACCCUGAUCCAGCCAUCCCGCGUGUGCGAUGAAGGCCUUCGGGUUGUAAAGCACUUUUGGCAGGAAAGAAACGUCGCGGGUUAAUACCCCGCGAAACUGACGGUACCUGCAGAAUAAGCACCGGCUAACUACGUGCCAGCAGCCGCGGUAAUACGUAGAGUGCAAGCGUUAAUCGGAAUUACUGGGCGUAAAGCGUGCGCAGGCGGUUCGGAAAGAAAGAUGUGAAAUCCCAGAGCUUAACUUUGGAACUGCAUUUUUAACUACCGGGCUAGAGUGUGUCAGAGGGAGGUGGAAUUCCGCGUGUAGCAGUGAAAUGCGUAGAUAUGCGGAGGAACACCGAUGGCGAAGGCAGCCUCCUGGGAUAACACUGACGCUCAUGCACGAAAGCGUGGGGAGCAAACAGGAUUAGAUACCCUGGUAGUCCACGCCCUAAACGAUGUCAACUAGCUGUUGGGGCCUUCGGGCCUUGGUAGCGCAGCUAACGCGUGAAGUUGACCGCCUGGGGAGUACGGUCGCAAGAUUAAAACUCAAAUGAAUUGACGGGGUCAUAGCUGUUUCCUG
Molecule: ribosomal RNA, 586 nt
Filed under: uncultured bacterium
Lineage: Bacteria
Description: partial 16S ribosomal RNA
Rfam family: Bacterial small subunit ribosomal RNA
Source: RNAcentral